RNAcentral lists this ribosomal RNA (253 nucleotides) under uncultured bacterium. RNAcentral describes it as "partial 16S ribosomal RNA". It matches the Rfam family "Bacterial small subunit ribosomal RNA", at positions 524 to 776 of the family's 1533-position model. The record is from RNAcentral.
UACAGAGGGUGCGAGCGUUGUCCGGAAUCACUGGGCGGAAAGGGCGCGUAGGUGGUGGCUUAAGCGUGCGGUGAAAGCUCGGAGCUCAACUCCGAGUCGGCCGUGCGAACUGGGCUCACUGGAGCAUAGUAGAGGCAGGUGGAAUUCCGGGUGUAGCGGUGGAAUGCGUAGAGAUCCGGAAGAACACCGGUGGCGAAGGCGGCCUGCUGGGCUAUGGCUGACACUGAGGCGCGACAGCGUGGGAGCAAACAGG